UUUCCUAAAACUUACUACUACUUAUUGUUUUAUUUAAAUCCCCUGUUUAUAUAUAGAUUUAACUCAAAAUAGAGCCAAAGCCAGAUUCAAACUUUCCCUAA
Molecule: ribosomal RNA, 101 nt
Filed under: Daphnia pulex (common water flea)
Lineage: Eukaryota; Metazoa; Arthropoda; Branchiopoda; Diplostraca; Daphniidae
Description: partial small subunit ribosomal RNA
Source: RNAcentral